Molecule: ribosomal RNA, 2186 nt
Filed under: Neosemidalis farinosa
Lineage: Eukaryota; Metazoa; Arthropoda; Insecta; Neuroptera; Coniopterygidae
Description: SSU rRNA
Rfam family: Eukaryotic small subunit ribosomal RNA
Source: RNAcentral
GUUGAUCCUGCCAGUAGUCAUAUGCUUGUCUCAAGGAUUAAGCCAUGCAUGUCUCAGUACAGCCAUAUUAAGGUGAAACCGCGAAAGGCUCAUUAUAUCAGUUAUGGUUCCUUAGAUCGUACCACUUAUUUACUUGGAUAACUGUGGUAAUUCUAGAGCUAAUACAUGCAAACAGAGUCCCAACCAGAAAUGGGAGGGAUGCUUUUAUUAGAUCAAAACCAAUCGGUAUCCGUUCGCGGUGCCGUUUAAUUUGAUGACUCUGAAUAACUUAAUGCUGAUCGCAUGGUCUCGUACCGGCGACGCAUCUUUCAAAUGUCUGCCUUAUCAACUGUCGAUGGUAGGUUCUGCGCCUACCAUGGUUGUAACGGGUAACGGGGAAUCAGGGUUCGAUUCCGGAGAGGGAGCCUGAGAAACGGCUACCACAUCCAAGGAAGGCAGCAGGCGCGCAAAUUACCCACUCUCAGAACGAGGAGGUAGUGACGAAAAAUAACGAUACGGGACUCAUCCGAGGCCCCGUAAUCGGAAUGAGUACACUUUAAAUCCUUUAACGAGGAUCCAUUGGAGGGCCAGUCUGGUGCCAGCAGCCGCGGUAAUUCCAGCUCCAAUAGCGUAUAUUAAAGUUGUUGCGGUUAAAAAGCUCGUAGUCGAAUUUGUGUCCCACACUGUUGGUUCAUCGCGAGCGAUGUUUAACUGGCACGCUGUGGGACGUCCUACCGGUGGAUUUGUGCUCAGGUGCGCCCCAUUCUGUGCUUUGUCCGGGACUGUUGUCGUGUCAUUGUGUGUGUGAUCGUAAUGUUCGUAUAGCUGUCCGAUUGUGUCUCGUGCAUUGAUCGGCGCUACUAUCGACUUGCGGUUAUUUCACGCCUUUGUGCAUUGGCAACAUGCGCCUAGCGAAUGUCACUCGGGUGUCGUUACUUGUUGUGCUAUCCAAUUUCAAUCCCGUCGCGGUGCUCUUAAUUGAGUGUCGAGGUGGGCCGGUACGUUUACUUUGAACAAAUUAGAGUGCUCAAGGCAGGCUAAAAUUUUGCCUGAAUAUUGUGUGCAUGGAAUAAUGGAAUAGGACCUCGGUUCUAUUUUGUUGGUUUUCGGGACUCCGAGGUAAUGAUUAAUACGGACAGAUGGGGGCAUUCGUAUUGCGACGUUAGAGGUGAAAUUCUUGGAUCGUCGCAAGACGGACAGAAGCGAAAGCAUUUGCCAAAAAUGUUUUGAUUGAUCAAGAACGAAAGUUAGAGGAUCGAAGGCGAUCAGAUACCGCCCUAGUUCUAACCAUAAACGAUGCCAGCUAGCGAUCCGUCGAAGUACCUCCGAUGACUCGACGGGCAGCUUCCGGGAAACCAAAGCUUUUGGGUUCCGGGGGAAGUAUGGUUGCAAAGCUGAAACUUAAAGGAAUUGACGGAAGGGCACCACCAGGAGUGGAGCCUGCGGCUUAAUUUGACUCAACACGGGGAAUCUCACCAGGCCAGAACAGCGAAAGGAUUGACAGAUUGAGAGCUCUUUCUUGAUUCGUUGAGUGGUGGUGCAUGGCCGUUCUUAGUUGGUGGAGCGAUUUGUCAGGUUAAUUCCGAUAACGAACGAGACUCUAGCCUGCUAAAUAGACGAAAAUUUUAACUGGCAUCUCAAGGCCUGCCCGCUAUUUGUGCUACUUGAUGCGGUGUCUGGUGUUGAUGUUGGCCAUGGUGGUUCUCUCGGGUUCCAUUGUGGUUUGGCAUUUGACGCCGAUGCGGUCGUGUGUGUUACGAUAGUUGUGUGUUUGGUUUUUACUGCCAGCGUUAUAUAAUAUCUUCUUAGAGGGACAGGCGGCAUUCUAGCCGCACGAGAUUGAGCAAUAACAGGUCAGUGAUGCCCUUAAAUGUUCUGGGCCGCACGCGCGCUACAAUGAAGGAAUCAACGUGUCCUCCUUGACCGAAAGGUCCGGGUAACCUGUUGAACCUCCUUCGUGCUAGGGAUUGGGUUUUGCAAUUAUGACCCAUGAACGAGGAAUUCCCAGUAAGCGCGAGUCAUCAGCUCGCGUUGAUUACGUCCCUGCCCUUUGUACACACCGCCCGUCGCUACUACCGAUUGAAUGAUUUAGUGAGGUCUUCGGACUGGUACGCGGCAGCGUUUUAAUAGACAUUGCCGAUGUUGUCGGAAAGAUGACCAAACUUGAUUAUUUAGAGGAAGUAAAAGUCGUAACAAGGUUUCCGUAG